GGGUCGGUAGCUCAGUCGGUAGAGCAGUUGGCUCUUAACCAAUUGGUCGUGGGUUCAAGUCCCACCCGACCCACCA
RNAcentral lists this transfer RNA (76 nucleotides) under Candidatus Peregrinibacteria bacterium CG10_big_fil_rev_8_21_14_0_10_49_16. RNAcentral describes it as "tRNA-Lys". It matches the Rfam family "tRNA". From Rfam's summary of the family: Transfer RNA (tRNA) molecules are approximately 80 nucleotides in length. Their secondary structure includes four short double-helical elements and three loops (D, anti-codon, and T loops). Further hydrogen bonds mediate the characteristic L-shaped molecular structure. tRNAs have two regions of fundamental functional importance: the anti-codon, which is responsible for specific mRNA codon recognition, and the 3' end, to which the tRNAs corresponding amino acid is attached (by aminoacyl-tRNA synthetases). tRNAs cope with the degeneracy of the genetic code in two manners: having more than one tRNA (with a specific anti-codon) for a particular amino acid; and 'wobble' base-pairing, i.e. permitting non-standard base-pairing at the 3rd anti-codon position. Lineage: Bacteria; Candidatus Peregrinibacteriota. The record is from RNAcentral.